GACGAACGCUGGCGGCGUGCCUAAUACAUGCAAGUAGAACGCUGAAGGAGGAGCUUGCUUCUCUGGAUGAGUUGCGAACGGGUGAGUAACGCGUAGGUAACCUGCCUGGUAGCGGGGGAUAACUAUUGGAAACGAUAGCUAAUACCGCAUAAUAGUAGAUGUCGCAUGACAUUUGCUUAAAAGGUGCAAUUGCAUCACUACCAGAUGGACCUGCGUUGUAUUAGCUAGUUGGUGAGGUAACGGCUCACCAAGGCAACGAUACAUAGCCGACCUGAGAGGGGGAUCGGCCACACUGGGACUGAGACACGGCCCAGACUCCUACGGGAGGCAGCAGUAGGGAAUCUUCGGCAAUGGACGGAAGUCUGACCGAGCAACGCCGCGUGAGUGAAGAAGGUUGUCGGAUCGUAAAGCUCUGUUGUAAGAGAAGAACGAGUGUGAGAGUGGAAAGUUCACACUGUGACGGUAUCUUACCAGAAAGGGACGGCUAACUACGUG
This 495-nucleotide ribosomal RNA is filed under the name uncultured bacterium. Its description in RNAcentral is "partial 16S ribosomal RNA". It matches the Rfam family "Bacterial small subunit ribosomal RNA", at positions 28 to 507 of the family's 1533-position model. The record is from RNAcentral.